AUCCAUUCUCUCUCUCUCUCCCUCUUUCGCUCAUGCAGCAGUCAAG
This 46-nucleotide unclassified non-coding RNA is filed under the name Anopheles gambiae (African malaria mosquito). The record is from RNAcentral. Lineage: Eukaryota; Metazoa; Arthropoda; Insecta; Diptera; Culicidae.